UCUGACCUCGAAUCAGGUGGGACUACCCGCUGAACUU
RNAcentral lists this ribosomal RNA (37 nucleotides) under Hydnum repandum. RNAcentral describes it as "partial 28S ribosomal RNA". Lineage: Eukaryota; Fungi; Basidiomycota; Agaricomycetes; Cantharellales; Hydnaceae. The record is from RNAcentral.